GGCUUGGCAGCUGCCAAUCAUGAAACUCCAAAGGCUGCUUGUCAGUAUGAAUGAUAUAAACCAACUCCCAUGCCUCUGUGACAUUCAGAAUGGAAGAUAUCCCUCUAUGGAUUUUGGUUGCUAAGGUGCUCGACAAUGGUUGCUAGGGAGGGGCUAGGAAGUGUUGAGGUGAUUCAUGAUUGGCUGUUUGUUGUCCCGAGUAAAACGAGACCACCCUUGUGUUUCUAUGACACUUCUAUCCGGAGAUAUCCCUUUGAUGUCUUUCAUUAGAAGUCUAUAGGACUUGUUGCUAAGGUGCCUUAAAUUGUUGCUAGGGCGUGGCUUGAUAGCUUCACAAUGAUCCUGAGAGACUGAUUGGUCGUCUGAGUAAAAUGAGCCCACCCCCUCGUCUCUAUGACACUGUGAUCCAGAGCUAUGUUCAAUACAAAUCCCUAUGCCUUUUCAUUUCAGGGGCCGUCCUACACCAUUAUAAGUCAAUUGGGGCAUUUUUGGGCAGCUCCUGCCCCCCAGGGGUGCAGCUUUUACCCCAUAUUGAGGUAUGCUCUUACAGAGCCUGCCAGCCUCUUCAAAUGUGGCAAAUCACACGUUUCUACGAAAUCCUCGCUUGGAGCUGUGACGCGUCAAAGUUUGUCUCAAUGUUAAGUCUAUGGGAUUUUUCGGCUGCUUUUUUGCCCCUGGGGCAAGUACCGUACCCCCGAUCGCUUAUAAAAGUCAUAGCACACGUGUCCUCAAUAGGCCGUUCGAUUUGACACCUCAUUCGUGGGUCUACGCCAAACGGUGCGGGACGAGUUAGGUGCCGAAGUUUUGUUAAGAGAUAUAAAAAAUAAGAAAAAUAAAAAUAAUAAAAAUAACUAGAUAGGUACAUUUCCUGAAGAAAAUGUGAGUGGUGCUUGCCGUGGCAAAACUCGUCAAAUAGCCUGCUUGAAAAGAACAGAAAUUGUGGUCAUAAAUAAAUCAACCCAGAAGUCUGUAUA
Molecule: long non-coding RNA, 974 nt
Organism: Xyrauchen texanus (razorback sucker)
Lineage: Eukaryota; Metazoa; Chordata; Actinopteri; Cypriniformes; Catostomidae
Exons: 4
Source: RefSeq, a predicted model, not a curated record